This 440-nucleotide ribosomal RNA is filed under the name uncultured bacterium. RNAcentral's name for it is "partial 16S ribosomal RNA". It matches the Rfam family "Bacterial small subunit ribosomal RNA", at positions 338 to 795 of the family's 1533-position model. The record is from RNAcentral.
CCUACGGGUGGCAGCAGUGGGGAAUAUUGCACAAUGGGGGAAACCCUGAUGCAGCAACGCCGCGUGAGUGAAGAAGUAUUUCGGUAUGUAAAGCUCUAUCAGCAGGGAAGAAGAUGACGGUACCUGAUUAAGAAGCGCCGGCUAACUACGUGCCAGCAGCCGCGGUAAUACGUAGGGGGCAAGCGUUAGCCGGAUUUACUGGGGGGAAAGGGGGCGCAGACGGGAGUGCAAGUCUGGAGUGAAAGCCCGUGGCCCAAACCCGGAACUGCUCUGGAAACUGUGGGGCUAGAGUACUGGAGGGGCAUGCGGAAUGCCUGGUGUAGCGGUGAAAUGCGUAGAUAUUAGGAGGAACACCAGUUGCGAAGGCGGCCUGCUGGACAGUAACUGACGUUGAGGCACGAAAGCGUGGGGAGCGAACAGGAUUAGAUACCCCAGUAGUC